AUGGAAAGCGAGCUCACCCGCUGCUCGCCAGGGCAACUGGUGCAGGUGCCCGCAGGGGGAGAAGGUGCCCCACGGCUUCAGGGCAGGGGGGGAAGGACUGACCCAGUGAGUGGGAGCCUCGUUCAUGCCUGGGCAGAGAGGAGCCGCUGCCUGGGGACAGCGGGACUUUGGGGGAGCCGAGCGGCAGGGUCCGGGGGGAGGGGGGGGGGUGGCCACGGCAGCCAGAGCUCACAGGGUCCGAGUGGAAGCCCUGGCCUUUCAGUUGAGCCACGCAGGCCAGAGGGCCUCCCCGCAAACUGCCAGACCCGACGAGGACGCACACGUGGUGCUCGGGGGCGCAGGAGUCCCUCCUGCCCGCACCCCCGCUGCCCCAGGUCGGCCAGACUCACGGCGGCCCCGAUCCAAGUCCAAGAACACACAACCCAGCCGCGUGCGUCUGCCCCCACGGCCAAAGCAGAGGGGGAAAGACCAACGAGCCGAGCCGGAGGCAACAGGCUCCCGCCACCCAACCACACGCACAUCUGCGGCCCCUGGGGCGGGGUGGCGCGGGUGGCAGGGGGAGGCCACCGGGGGGACCCGCCAAGCACGGCGCCACCCCUGGCGGCCGCCCUCACCAGAGCCACGCCGGACACCCACGCCCGCCGCCCACUACUGACCCCCCGGGCCCACUGCGUCCUUCCAAGCCUCACCUCUCCGCCGCCGCUGUGUCUUCAACUCCCCCUCCUCCCGCGUCCUCACCCCCUCCUCCCACACGCUCACCUCCUCCUCUCGCGGCCUCGCCUCCUCCUUCCCCAGCUCCUGCCAGCAUCCACCCGACACACGAAGCCCCGAAGCCCCGAGGCACCUCCACAGCGGGGCUCGAGGUCGUGGACGCGGCCCGCACUGUCCCAAACGCGCCUCCCCAGCCGGCGUCAGGGCGACCCAGCUCGCUGGGGUCAGCAGGCACGCGGAGACGGGGCGGGGCCGGGAACACGCAUGCGCGGGGGGUGCGGCGGCCGCCCCCUGUCGGCCCUCGGGGGCAGUGCGGGUCGUCCGGCCGCCCGCUGGGUCCCUUAUCGCGUUGAAAGUCACACUGAACUGAGCCACCCAUCCCGUCUCUUAGCCAAAGAUCGUUAA
RNAcentral lists this long non-coding RNA (1116 nucleotides) under Felis catus (domestic cat). RNAcentral's name for it is "lncRNA (ENSFCAG00000049895.1)". The record is from RNAcentral. Lineage: Eukaryota; Metazoa; Chordata; Mammalia; Carnivora; Felidae.